GUUUCAAUUCCUCAUAGGCACUCUAAAAAC
Deferribacter desulfuricans SSM1 is the source of this 30-nucleotide non-coding RNA. Lineage: Bacteria; Pseudomonadati; Deferribacterota; Deferribacteres; Deferribacterales; Deferribacteraceae. The record is from Rfam.